RNAcentral lists this ribosomal RNA (549 nucleotides) under Triticum aestivum (bread wheat). Its description in RNAcentral is "partial small subunit ribosomal RNA". Lineage: Eukaryota; Viridiplantae; Streptophyta; Magnoliopsida; Poales; Poaceae. The record is from RNAcentral.
AUGGAGGACUUUGCGCGCGCGAUGGAGGAUGGGCUCAAGCUGUCGAAGCGGCUCGUGCUGCCGGGCGGGCUGCCCCCGCCGCGGCCGCCCGUAGGGAUGGAGCGCGGGCCCGCCGCGUUGCGGCUCCCCGCCGUGCUGAUGGCCUACGCGGUCGUCUCCGACCCCGGCACCAUCGACACCCCCGAUGUGCCCAGCUACCAGCCCUACGUCUACGGCCGCCUCGACCCGCCCGCGCUCAUCCCGCUGCAGAUGAAGGAGAUCGACCUCGCCGUCGACUGCAUGCUCGACACGGCCACCGUCACCCUGCACGCGCGCUGGUGGCUGUACUGCAUCACGCGCAGCCGCGAGUGCGACAUCAGGCUCGUCGUGCCCAUGGGGGAACUGGAUUCAGUUUGUGUUCUGGUGGCGAUGCCGACGGUCGUCAAGAGGUUCGUGGACUGGACGGUGUCGUGGCUGCUGAUGUAUGGAGAGGCGAAGCUGCUGCUCGUCAUCUACCUCUGGCACUCGGAGACCGACUUCGCCGUGAAGUCUGGUUGCCACGUCGCAUAG